AUUGAACGCUGGCGGCAGGCCUAACACAUGCAAGUCGAGCGGAUGAGAGGAGCUUGCUCCUUGAUUCAGCGGCGGACGGGUGAGUAAUGCCUAGGAAUCUGCCUGGUAGUGGGGGAUAACGUUCCGAAAGGAACGCUAAUACCGCAUACGUCCUACGGGAGAAAGCAGGGGACCUUCGGGCCUUGCGCUAUCAGAUGAGCCUAGGUCGGAUUAGCUAGUUGGUGAGGUAAUGGCUCACCAAGGCGACGAUCCGUAACUGGUCUGAGAGGAUGAUCAGUAACACUGGAACUGAGAGACGGUCCAGACGCCUACGGGAGGCAGCAGUGGGGAAUAUUGGACAAUGGGCGAAAGCCUGAUCCAGCCAUGCCGCGUGUGUGAAGAAGGUCUUCGGAUUGCAAAGCACUUUAAGUUGGGAGGAAGGGCAGUAAGUUAAUACCUUGCUGUUUUGACGUUACCAACAGAAUAAGCACCGGCUAACUUCGUGCCAGCAGCAGCCGCAG
This 500-nucleotide ribosomal RNA is filed under the name uncultured bacterium. RNAcentral's name for it is "partial 16S ribosomal RNA". It matches the Rfam family "Bacterial small subunit ribosomal RNA", at positions 30 to 523 of the family's 1533-position model. The record is from RNAcentral.